ACUCAACUUUGGUCCGCGAUGAUCGCUCUGGGUGGCCGACGUGGCUGCACGGGAUAAAGGUUCGUAGUGGCAGCUGGACAGGAGCAGGAUCAUGAAGGACGAGCGUCUCUCGGUACAGAAGUCUCGUCAUGAUAGUUUCGGCGAACUGCGGGUUCAUCUGGCGAGCAACUUUCAGCGCGGCUUCGCAUUUAUCCUGGAAGGCUUUAAGACCUAAUCGAGGUAUUCCAUGCCGUGAGUUUUCAUGACGCAAGCGAUGUCGAACAUGUCGCGGGGCUGCAUCGCGGCGCCGCGGUGUAAACCUUCU
This 304-nucleotide small RNA is filed under the name Sinorhizobium meliloti 2011. RNAcentral describes it as "putative ncRNA". Lineage: Bacteria; Pseudomonadati; Pseudomonadota; Alphaproteobacteria; Hyphomicrobiales; Rhizobiaceae. The record is from RNAcentral.